RNAcentral lists this long non-coding RNA (4836 nucleotides) under Canis lupus familiaris (dog). Its description in RNAcentral is "lncRNA (ENSCAFG00000058354.1, ENSCAFG00805025939.1, ENSCAFG00845010025.1)". The record is from RNAcentral. Lineage: Eukaryota; Metazoa; Chordata; Mammalia; Carnivora; Canidae.
UUUUUUUCUUUAUUUUUCUUUAUUUAUUUAUUUUUACAUUUUUUCUUUAAAACAUAUAAGCCUCACUGUACAAAAAUGAUUUUGGAUUUGCAAUAUUGUUACACUAUCUAUCAUAAUGCUAAACAAGGUACCAUAAGGGAGGGAAAAUUCAAAUAAAAGGACUCUGAGCUCUUUGUUAAAGAUUAUUGGCAAAAAGAUACAUUCAUGCCUUUCUUCAUGUUCUGCACAAUGAGAUUACACAUUUCAUACAAACCAUAUUUCUACCAGAUAUGAAACCUGUCAACUCUAAAGUUAAUUUAUCAAACUUUAGGUGUAGCUUUAAAAAAAAUGAUACUAUGCUGAUUUUAAACCGAAAUUACAAAAGAUAUAAAAGCCCCUAUGCUGUUGAGAGAGUCAACAUGAAAGCAGGAUAAGACUUAAGACUGGAAGAGAAGCUUAUUCUCUGUCUAGAGCCUAAAAAACAUGGUCUACCUCUUAUCCCAAGAUGUGUUAGAGCCCUAAAUACUACUGAACUCUUGAUUACCAGCUGUGGUCAUUCUAUUCUGGAACAAAUUAGGAAAACUGACUAAGCCUGUCUUCAACGGAAGUACUCUUCUCAGUAGGCAUUAAGGACCAUAAGAACAGCCUUGAAGAAAAGCAGGAAAGCAUCCACAGCUACAACCAGACAUCUGGUUUACCCUGCUUCCUCAGCACAUAUAUAUUUGAGAAAGGAAGCUAAGAGAACACAGAGGUUACAAUCUGCCAAGAGUGGUGGAGAAUAUUUUUAAAAAGAAUACUCCAGUGUUUCCAUAUUUGCCUAAUCUUUAAAAUUGGUAUCUUAUAAAAAUUUUUCAUACAACAUGACUAUGACCAUUCCUCCCCCAGAAUUACUUUCAUUAUUGAAUACUUUUAUGGAAACACAGCUUAGAAAUGGUUACCAGCAUCUGAGAUGCCAACCUACUGACCUCAUCCACUAAGAAGAAACCUUGGCCUGUUCAAGCUCUGGCUGGUUCAUUUAACUUGGUGAUUUUAAGAAAGCCGAACAGUUUGGGAUUAAGACAAGACAUCAGAUACAGGUGGCCCAAGUAAGAGGCUGUUGUAAAAAUCAUCCUAGAAGUGAUAUAGCCUGAAUUAGUGCAGUUACAGGGAAAAGGUAAGGAGGAGAAUAUGCACUGGUAUACACAUAAGAGAUAAAAAUCAGCCAAAUUUGGUGACAGACCUAGUGUGGUGAGGCUGAGUUUGUUGGAGGAAGGAAGAGUUUGUUGAAGACUGGAAGAAUCAUCUAAGAGACCUAGUGUGGUGAGGCUGAGUUUGUUGGAGGAAGGAAGAGUUUGUUGAAGACUGGAAGAAUCAUCUAAGCAUACCACAUGGUACUUUUAAGAAUCUACAAAGAUGUUUUUAAUAUCUAGGAGCCCUUAGAUGAGAAUUAUGAGCUUCUCAUGGAAGAAGAUCAUUCAAUUCAUGCUUAUUGGGCUUAAUUAAAUAUCCUAUGCAAUAUUUUGAAUGAUACUAAAAUAACAUAAUUUUAAAUAAAAAAGGCUUAGCUUGUAUAUUAAAGACAUUCUUACAUUUCACUGAAAUUAAAAUGGCAAAGAAAAAUAACUUAGUUCAGCCCUAAAGAGAUACUGUCAUUGACACUACAGAAAAAGGGUAAGAAACUUCAAGCCCAGUUCAAAAGUGACAGCCUGUCUCCUUGCUGAGUUAGUCCUCAGUUAGCAUUAAGUAUUUUGAAUGUUCUGCUUUCUCCAGGAACGUGAAAAGAAUAAGGACCAAAGAGAUAGGAGAGCAGAACACAGACAUUGACUCUGUCACUGUUAACAUCUUGGGUCCCUCUAGCUAUCUGGUCCUGAGUCUUCUCAUUGCCAAAAUGAAGAUUUCAGCCAGAUAAUUUAUAAAAAUCCACUCAUUUCUUAUAGUCUUUCAACCAUAGUGCUAAUUAAGAGCUUAAAUAUUAUACACUCAUAUUCUCAUUUAUAGUGUUUUUUGUAGAGGAAAGGGGAGUUUAGAGGACUGGAAGGCACCAAUUACCUUCCAGGUAAUUGCCCCAAUUUUUUAAAUGCCAGGCCUGCAUAUCAAUGGGUUUCAUACAGAGAAGAAAAACCCAAUAUAUAUUUACAUUGCACAAUGAGAUUACACAUUUUUAAAAUAAUCAACUAUUAUUUAUAUCAAUCUGGCAUACACAUUUAUUUCUAACUUAUAAGCUUAUUGAAUAUUUAAAAAAUUAAUAGUAUUUCCACAAUGCUUUCCCAGCUGUUAGUUUAAGGAUGUAGCCAGUUAGAAAAAGAGAUCAGACUUGUGGUUACCAGAGGUGAAGAGGAGGCAGACUGGAGGAAGGUAGUUGAAAGGCACAAACUCACAAACUUCCAGUUAUAAGUAAGUACUAGGGAUGGAAUGCAUAACUUAACAACUGUAGUUACCACUGCUCUAUAAAUAUACAGGAAAAGUUAAUAAAGUAAAUCCCAAAAGUUCUUAUUACAAGAAAAAGAACACUUUUUUCUUUUUCCCCCCAUUUAUCCUUAUGAGAUGAUGCAUGUUCAAUGAAUUUAUUGUGGCAAUUAUUUCACAAUACAUAUAGGUCAAACCUUUAUGCUGUAUACCUGAAACUCAUAAAGGGCUAUAUGUCAAUUACAUCUCAAUAAAACCAGGGGACAAGGUGGCAAGGGAUGUAGCAAAUGGUAAGUUUCAGGAACUUUCAAAAAGGAUAGGAUGAGUGACACAUUUUCCUUUAAUACUGUUAGAUUUUAGGUCUGAUCCCAUUUUUCGCUCCAAACCAAUGGGUCCAUUCGAAUUUGAAGGUUUAUUUACAUGAGCUGCUUCAUUUGCAGAAGCCUUUGAAAUAAUUUAAUUAAUUAUUCCUUAUAACUACUAUCUCAUUUAGCAAAUUAAUAUUGCCUUAGCAUGUUCAUGAAGAAUAUAUUUCUUAGGCAUAAAUGUGAUGGCAACCCUUCAGUAACUAUAUCAUACCAUCCUUGUGAAUAUUAAACUCUUCUAAUUACAAUCCAUGGACUCACUGUUCUUAAAAUCAUAUCCAACUUUUACUCAAAUAACUCAACAUGGCUAUUUUGGUUCAUUCUGGACAUCCAUAUAGAAUUCUUUCACACUUGCUCCAUGAUUAAGCUCCAUAAAUGCAAAUGUAACACACACUAACUUGGAUGUAACCAAAAGUGUAUGAUUAAAUAUCUUGAGGUUUAUUUUCCAGCAAACAAACCAGAGAUUAAUCCAUGGUAGUCAAGGCAGACCAGAAGGCACUUGACAGUUUAAAAGCCAUCAAAAUCGGCCAAAUGAUUGCUCUAUACCAGAAUGGGUGGUAAAUCUACUGCUGGGAGCUCCAUGGCUCUAGGACUCAGAGGCCAAAGCUAUACCAGAUGGCCAGUAAUCAAAUGACCUGUCAUGGUUUCCUGCAAAUGGCUCCUAAUGCACAAUGUAGGACAAAAGACAGGCUUUGUAGAAUUUCCUGUUGAGAGCAGCAUGUAAAACUCCCAUUGAUGGAUCCUAAAUAGUAAAUGAAUGAAUAAACAAGCAAACAGUAACAUAUGAAAGCUUUACUUUUGGUAAUUGAUUGAUUCAGGCAAUAGUUGGGAUCUUGGGGUAGUUGAAGUAAUCUAGUUCAUCCAUGACUGCCAACAUGUUCUUCCCCUAAUGGAGAAUGAGAGUACAAUGCAAAUUUUAAGCAUACUUUAUAAAAUACCAGCCUCUUCAGUGGAUUCUGUUCGACAUGGAUUUUGACUAUAUUAUAAUUCUCGGCAUUCUGAGCCAUUUUUUUGAUUUACAGAAUAAAAUAAAUGUUUAAAAUAUAGGAUUUGCAAUAUUGAAAUGGAAGUGAAAGAACAUUCAAGCUAAGAGAAUGAUAUAAAGAAAGAAGUAGUAAAGAAAGUAACAAAUCAAUAUCAUCUAUAUAGGAUUUUUGCUAAAAUGUUUAACAGGAACAUAAUCAUAAGGAAACCAUCAGACAGAUCCAAGUAGAAGGUAUCCUACAAAAUACUUCAAGUGUGCUCUUCAAAAAUACUAAUGUCACAAAAGAUAAAAUAUCACACAGGAAUGUUCUAGAUUAAAGAAUACUAAAGAAACAUAAUAAUCUAAUGCAGUUCAAUUCCUUAAUUAGACCCUAGAGGAGAAAACCAGCUACAAUACUUCUUCCCCCAAAUCACAGAAUUGUGAACAAGGACUGCAUUUUAGAUAAUAUUACUGAAUCAUUGCUGAAUUAUUGGAUGUGAUAAUAGUUGUGUAGGAGAACAUCUUUAUUUUUAAGAGAUGUAGCUGAAGUAUUUAGGGGUGAUGCAUCAUGUCUACAGCUUAGUCUCAAAUGGUUCAGUGAAAAAAACAAAUCUAUAAAUAAACACACACCCAUGAAGAGAGAUAAAGCAAAUGUGGCUUUGGUGAAUCUCAGUGAAACAAAUAGUUGUGGGGAGAGAAAUAAUGAGCCAGAUGGGACUAGAUUAGGAGGAUGGAUGGCUUUGAGAAGUGAGAAGACAGAGGCUAAGGUCUGUGGAGAAGGAGAGCAUGAACAACUGAUGGAGAUCUUUAGAUUGUCAAAUGAGGAACGUGGUCUUGACUUGGAAAAACAGCAGGGACACAGAAUACAUGACAGGCUUUGAUUUCAAAGUAAAACAAUGACUUCACAUGACAGGAAAUAAAUAUGGCAGCACUUGGCAGGAAGCACUAAAAAAGGAAUGAAUUGAAGGCCAAUUAGAACAGUCUCUCAUAAUAACCAAAGGGGACAUUUGAAAGAAAAGCUUGGCUUCACAGAAGCAGAGGAAUGAAAAGACAAAGACAGAUCCAAGAACCAGUAGGAAAUACAGAUUGUGGAUGGAUUGCUUACAGCGAUAUGUAUCCCUUAUGAUUAUUUCCCUCACCUGU